GACGAACGCUGGCGGCGUGCUUAACACAUGCAAGUCGAACGGAAAGGCCCUGCUUUUGUGGGGUGCUCGAGUGGCGAACGGGUGAGUAACACGUGAGUAACCUGCCCUUGACUUUGGGAUAACUUCAGGAAACUGGGGCUAAUACCGGAUAGGAGCUCCUGCUGCAUGGUGGGGGUUGGAAAGUUUCGGCGGUUGGGGGUGGACUCGCGGCUUAUCAGCUUGUUGGUGGGGUAGUGGCUUACCAAGGCUUUGACGGGUAGCCGGCCUGAGAGGGUGACCGGCCACAUUGGGACUGCGAGACGGCCCAGACUCCUACGGGAGGCAGCAGUGGGGAAUAUUGCACAAUGGGAGGAAGCCUGAUGCAGCAACGCCGCGUGCGGGAUGACGGCCUUCGGGUUGUAAACCGCUUUCGCCUGUGACGAAGCGUGAGUGACGGUAAUGGGUAAAGAAGCACCGGCUAACUACGUG
Molecule: ribosomal RNA, 468 nt
Filed under: uncultured bacterium
Lineage: Bacteria
Description: partial 16S ribosomal RNA
Rfam family: Bacterial small subunit ribosomal RNA
Source: RNAcentral